Algoriphagus sp. is the source of this 97-nucleotide regulatory RNA element. It matches the Rfam family "TPP riboswitch aptamer (THI element)". From Rfam's summary of the family: Vitamin B(1) in its active form thiamin pyrophosphate (TPP) is an essential coenzyme that is synthesised by coupling of pyrimidine and thiazole moieties in bacteria. The previously detected thiamin-regulatory element, thi box was extended, resulting in a new, highly conserved RNA secondary structure, the THI element, which is widely distributed in eubacteria and also occurs in some archaea. The record is from Rfam. NCBI's taxonomy places the organism in Bacteria, Pseudomonadati, Bacteroidota, Cytophagia, Cytophagales, Cyclobacteriaceae.
CAAGAUCAUAAGGGGUGCCUUAAUAAAACGGGCUGAGAUCAUACCCAUACGACCUGAUCCGGGUAAUGCCGGCGAAGGGAAAUGAGCAACAUAACAA